CCUACGGGGGGCAGCAGUGAGGAAUAUUGGUCAAUGGGCGAGAGCCUGAACCAGCCAAGUAGCGUGCAGGAUGACGGCCCUAUGGGUUGUAAACUGCUUUUUAAGGUGAAUAAAGAGGGGCACGUGUGCCCUGUUGCAUGUAGCCUUAGAAUAAGGACCGGCUAAUUCCGUGCCAGCAGCCGCGGUAAUACGGAAGGUCCGGGUGUUAUCCGGAUUUAUUGGGUUUAAAGGGAGCGUAGGCCGCAGGUUAAGUGUGUUGUGAAAAGCAGUCGCCCAACGUCUGCCUUGCAGCGCAAACUGUCCUGCUUGAGUGCGCACAACGCAGGCGGAAUUCGUCGUGUAGCGGUGAAAUGCUUAGAUAUGACGAAGAACUCCGAUUGCGAAGGCAGCUUGCGGGAGCGCAACUGACGC
This 411-nucleotide ribosomal RNA is filed under the name uncultured Prevotella sp. Its description in RNAcentral is "bacterial SSU rRNA". It matches the Rfam family "Bacterial small subunit ribosomal RNA", at positions 338 to 746 of the family's 1533-position model. Lineage: Bacteria; Pseudomonadati; Bacteroidota; Bacteroidia; Bacteroidales; Prevotellaceae. The record is from RNAcentral.